CGAAACUCAAUGAGAAGAUUGUGAGUGUAAUCAAUGACGCUGCUUCUGGUUGGGGUGUUGAGUGUAUUCGAUAUGAAAUAAUGGAUGUAACACCUCCACCUAGCGUAUUGACGGCUAUGAAAAAGCAA
This is a long non-coding RNA of Asparagus officinalis (garden asparagus), 128 nucleotides long. RefSeq lists it as uncharacterized. The record is from RefSeq and is a predicted model, not a curated record. The transcript has 3 exons. Lineage: Eukaryota; Viridiplantae; Streptophyta; Magnoliopsida; Asparagales; Asparagaceae.